This 515-nucleotide ribosomal RNA is filed under the name uncultured bacterium. RNAcentral describes it as "bacterial SSU rRNA". It matches the Rfam family "Bacterial small subunit ribosomal RNA", at positions 36 to 530 of the family's 1533-position model. The record is from RNAcentral.
GACGAACGACUGGCGGCGUGCCUAACACAUGCAAGUCGAACGGGACCAGUCUUGGUGGCAACACUUUGGUUGGUUUAGUGGCGAACGGGUGAGUAACACGUGAGGAACCUGCCCCGGAGACCGGGAUAACAGGAGGAAACUUCUGCUAAUACUGGAUGUCCCCAUUGUGCCGCAUGGUGUGGUGGGGAAAUGGGUUUCCGCUUCGGGAGGGUCUCGCGGCCUAUCAGCUUGUUGGUGGGGUAAUGGCCUACCAAGGCGUCGACGGGUAGCUGGUCUGAGAGGACGAUCAGCCACACUGGGACUGAGACACGGCCCAGACUCCUACGGGAGGCAGCAGUGGGGAAUAUUGGUCAAUGGGCGAGAGCCUGAACCAGCCAAGUCGCGUGAAGGAAGAAGGAUCUAUGGUUCGUAAACUUCUUUUGCAGGGGAAUAAAGUGCAGGACGUGUCCUGUUUUGUAUGUACCCUGAGAAUAAGGAUCGGCUAACUCCGUGCCAGCAGCCGCGGUAAAGUCUAG